Molecule: ribosomal RNA, 1362 nt
Filed under: Bacillus cytotoxicus
Lineage: Bacteria; Bacillati; Bacillota; Bacilli; Caryophanales; Bacillaceae
Description: partial 23S ribosomal RNA
Rfam family: Bacterial large subunit ribosomal RNA
Source: RNAcentral
AAGGCUGAGCUGUGAUGGGGAAGCUCCUUAUGGAGCGAAGUCUUCGAUUCCCCGCUGCCAAGAAAAGCUUCUAGCGAGAUAAAAGGUGCCUGUACCGCAAACCGACACAGGUAGGCGAGGAGAGAAUCCUAAGGUGAGCGAGAGAACUCUGGUUAAGGAACUCGGCAAAAUGACCCCGUAACUUCGGGAGAAGGGGUGCUUUCUUAACGGAAAGCCGCAGUGAAUAGGCCCAAGCGACUGUUUAGCAAAAACACAGGUCUCUGCGAAGCCGUAAGGCGAAGUAUAGGGGCUGACACCUGCCCGGUGCUGGAAGGUUAAGGAGAGGGGUUAGCGUAAGCGAAGCUCUGAACUGAAGCCCCAGUAAACGGCGGCCGUAACUAUAACGGUCCUAAGGUAGCGAAAUUCCUUGUCGGGUAAGUUCCGACCCGCACGAAAGGUGUAACGAUUUGGGCACUGUCUCAACCAGAGACUCGGUGAAAUUAUAGUACCUGUGAAGAUGCAGGUUACCCGCGACAGGACGGAAAGACCCCGUGGAGCUUUACUGUAGCCUGAUAUUGAAUUUUGGUACAGCUUGUACAGGAUAGGCGGGAGCCUUUGAAGCCGGAGCGCUAGCUUCGGUGGAGGCGCUGGUGGGAUACCGCCCUGGCUGUAUUGAAAUUCUAACCUACGGGUCUUAUCGACCCGGGAGACAGUGUCAGGUGGGCAGUUUGACUGGGGCGGUCGCCUCCUAAAGUGUAACGGAGGCGCCCAAAGGUUCCCUCAGAAUGGUUGGAAAUCAUUCGUAGAGUGCAAAGGCAUAAGGGAGCUUGACUGCGAGACCUACAAGUCGAGCAGGGACGAAAGUCGGGCUUAGUGAUCCGGUGGUUCCGCAUGGAAGGGCCAUCGCUCAACGGAUAAAAGCUACCCCGGGGAUAACAGGCUUAUCUCCCCCAAGAGUCCACAUCGACGGGGAGGUUUGGCACCUCGAUGUCGGCUCAUCGCAUCCUGGGGCUGUAGUCGGUCCCAAGGGUUGGGCUGUUCGCCCAUUAAAGCGGUACGCGAGCUGGGUUCAGAACGUCGUGAGACAGUUCGGUCCCUAUCCGUCGUGGGCGUAGGAAAUUUGAGAGGAGCUGUCCUUAGUACGAGAGGACCGGGAUGGACGCACCGCUGGUGUACCAGUUGUUCUGCCAAGGGCAUCGCUGGGUAGCUAUGUGCGGAAGGGAUAAGUGCUGAAAGCAUCUAAGCAUGAAGCCCCCCUCAAGAUGAGAUUUCCCAUAGCGUAAGCUAGUAAGAUCCCUGAAAGAUGAUCAGGUUGAUAGGUUCGAGGUGGAAGCGUGGUGACACGUGGAGCUGACGAAUACUAAUAGAUCGAGGACUUAACCA